RNAcentral lists this long non-coding RNA (523 nucleotides) under Pongo abelii (Sumatran orangutan). Its description in RNAcentral is "lincRNA". The record is from RNAcentral. Lineage: Eukaryota; Metazoa; Chordata; Mammalia; Primates; Hominidae.
GCUAAUAUUGUUUUAAUAAAUGCCCUUUUUGUGUAGAAAUGCUUGUUUGGUUUCUGAUAGUUGUAACCUAAAGAAUCUUUAGUAAGCCAUUGGUCUGCUGAGGGGAGGGUCGAGAUGAAACUGGAGCGUUGGUUGAACCUAGAUCAUAAAGUGACUCCAACAUCUUCAUACCAGGGAAAGGAGGAAGCUGUGCUGUGAAGGAUCCUUUUUCAUCAUGAUUAUUGCAUCCACAGAAGCAGUGAUAAAUUCUAAUAGAUGAUGCAACUCAGUCUACUUGGGUGUUCACACCUGAGACUGGAGAAGACCUGCUGCCUUCUGCAGAGCCAAACAUUCCUCACAUGCUCCUUCACAGUGCUAGUUAAUGCAGCAAGAAUAGUCUUAUAUAGACUAUAAGCUCCUGGUACACUGUGUCUACAUUGCUCACUGCAGUAUCCCAACGUCUAAGACCAUGGUCUUAGAUGUCUGGUAUAGGAGUGGUGCUCAGUAUGCAUUGAAUGAAUAAAUGAAUGAAUAUAGCAAAGCA